GCGAGUGAAGCGGCAAGAGCUCAAAUUUGAAAUCUGGUACCUUUGGUGCCCGAGUUGUAAUUUGUAGAGCAGUACUUUUGUUAUGGGCUUUGCCUAUGUUCCUUGGAACAGGACGUCAUGGAGGGUGAUAAUCCCGUAUGGCGAGGUGACCGUAGCUAUGUGAGUAUUGUUCGACGAGUCGAGUUGUUUGGGAAUGCAGCUCUAAGUGGGUGGUAUACUCCAUCUAAAGCUAAAUAUCAGCGAGAGACCGAUAGCGAACAAGUACAGUGAUGGAAAGAUGAAAAGAACUUUGAAAAGAGAGUGAAAAAGUACGUGAAAUUGUUGAAAGGGAAGGGCAUUUGAUCAGACAUGGUAGGUAGUGCCCUGUGCUCCUUGUGGGUGCGGGAAUUUCGCUGCUUACUGGGCCAGCAUGAGUUUUGGGGCCUCGACAAAGACGCUGUAAUGUAGCUUUGCACAUUGUGUUUAGUGUUAUAGACAGUGUUAAUGGGGGCACCUGGGACUGAGGUCUGCGACUUUUGUCAAGGAUGCUGGCAUAAUGGUUAAAUGCCGCCC
Molecule: ribosomal RNA, 552 nt
Filed under: Tetrapisispora iriomotensis
Lineage: Eukaryota; Fungi; Ascomycota; Saccharomycetes; Saccharomycetales; Saccharomycetaceae
Description: eukaryotic LSU rRNA
Rfam family: Eukaryotic large subunit ribosomal RNA
Source: RNAcentral